UUUCUGUAGGUGAACCUGCGGAAGGAUCAUUAGUUAUAUAAGGCCGCAGGACAAGCUUUCCGAAAGGAUCGAGCUUGCUGUGUGAACCCUACCUACCCUUGCUUUUUGCGUACCCAUUGUUUCCUCGGCAGGCUUGCCUGCCAGUAGGACCCUCUUAAACCCUUUGUAAUUGCAGUCAGCGUCAGAAGCAACGUAAUCGUUACAACUUUCAACAACGGAUCUCUUGGUUCUG
This 232-nucleotide unclassified non-coding RNA is filed under the name plant metagenome. RNAcentral's name for it is "partial contains small subunit ribosomal RNA, internal transcribed spacer 1, and 5.8S ribosomal RNA". The record is from RNAcentral.